Molecule: ribosomal RNA, 202 nt
Filed under: uncultured Lactobacillus sp.
Lineage: Bacteria; Bacillati; Bacillota; Bacilli; Lactobacillales; Lactobacillaceae
Description: partial 16S ribosomal RNA
Rfam family: Bacterial small subunit ribosomal RNA
Source: RNAcentral
UAGCUAUACACGGAUAACAACAGAUGAUGCCUAUCAACUGUUUAAAAGAUGGUUCUGCUAUCACUCUUGGAUGGACCUGCGGUGCAUUAGCUAGUUGGUAGGGUAACGGCCUACCAAGGCGAUGAUGCAUAGCCGAGUUGAGAGACUGAUCGGCCACAUUGGGACUGAGACACGGCCCAAACUCCUACGGGAGGCAGCAGCU